UGAAGAGAAAACAUAUGAAAUACUUUGUGAUAUCAAAUGUGACCAAUCAAUUUCCAAUUACCUAAGUAAAUCUUACGUACAUUUUAAAGUUAACAUUAAAUUCCUGCGUAUAUUUUCAAUCAUAUCAGCAGAAAAAUGAUCGUAACCUUAGAAAGAGGUUCCAGAUAUCACCAAUGACAGAAAACAACCCGUUCGUAUCUCGCGCUCACCACGUCCGCAUCAAGUACAAGAGUAACAUUACCCAAGCCCAGUUUAUAACAGGAGGAGGCAUCAGCAUUAACCUCCCCACAAGCCACCCGAAUAAACAGCGAAAUGUUGUCUUUCGUAGGAAAACGUCACGCACUGCUGGCGACCGUCAGAAGUGAAUGCAUAACAGCCCUCGCAACCGCAUGCACACCAGAAAUGUAAAGAGCUGGCCCGGGUGUGGACGAGGCUCUCUGCGGUCAGCCAUGGACCUCGGAAAUUCUACGUCAGCAGCUGUUCCUCAUUCGGAGUUGGCGUUGGCUGCAGCGCCGCCACGACGCAAUGCGCAGGUUGGAUGAGUGUGAAGUGAGUUGCCAGAGGGCAUAUAUACUUUCGAAAUAAAUAUGGGUAUAGUUUUAAUUUAUCCAUUUUUCAUAUUCUAAUAUUAUAAUUAUGUUAUAUUGAAUGUCAUUAAAGUUCUUAAUUUCGUCAAGGGUGCGUGGAUGUGCUCAAACAACAUUUUAUAUUGGGCGAACUGUAAACUUCACACCCCUUGAGAGACAGACGUGUACCGGGCCGGUGAAAGUCGGCGAACAACCACACUCUAUGCGACUCUGUCCAGAAUUGGGCAGUUAAGAGACAGUGGAGAGCUCAUCUUCACGUCAAAUGUCACAAGGAUGCUGAGGUCCGCAUCUCCAGCCCCGUGUGUGCGUAUGUGCGUAUGGCUUGACAGACGCUAGAGGAGAGAGACAUCCCGACUGCGCGUGCCUGUCCUCUGAUGGUCGGAAGCAACAUGACUGGCGCGUAUAUGAGGAUGUACUCGCUCACGUCGAUUCAGGGUGAUUUUGUGUACUUUGAGCGUGGUUGAGAAACAAUUGGUCUAUUGAAGUCCUCAAAUGGAAAAGUGAAGCGUUUAUGGCGAAGGGAGUAAUCAUUAGGGAUUUGAAGAAUUUUGUCAUUUGGAUUCAUGGCCAGGUGUGGCAUUCGAAAUUCGUCCGUUUCGCGUAUAAAAAGUUCAAUUUCGAGAAAUAUUUUAAUCGGUAUGAACAUCCGGUGCGCGCAAAGGAAGGCAGCGCGAAAUUAAGCACUCAGUCAAAAAGUGCGCGACUUGGAGUAGCCACUUUCCCUAUAUAUUUUCAGGUUAGUGAACCUCUGUGACAGCGCUAUUUGACGACCGUAAGGGCGAUUUUUCCUCCAAAUCUGUGAAACUCAAGCUCUUGUGCGUAAGUGAACCCGUGACCUCAAAACCACAGCCGAUACACAUCACUGACUUUUUCAGGGCGCUUUUUCAACAGUGUGACAUAAGAGCGGGUGUUGUGUGCACGUGGUGUCAGGUGUCCCAUUGGCCCGGCUCGCCAGUGUUGCCAUACCGUUAGUCUUUCCGGUUACUCCCACCAUGAAUCCGUCUGAUGUUAAUCAAGUUUUUUAAUUUUAUCAGACUGCCUUAUCAUAUCAUAAUUGUAAGCCUUCAAACACGCCGGUAUGACCAAAGCUUGCCGUGCACGUUUAUAUAAAACUGGAAAAAUGGGGAAUAAAAGAAGCGAGAGCAUGCUGGAGCGCGCACCAUGCUACCCCUCCUUAUGCCCCUCUAUUUACAAAAUUGCCGUCAGUGUAAAUGGAAAUGUGCUGGAGAUGCAUAAAAUAUGUAAAAGAGGUAGGUAGAAGGGUGUUAAUGAGCGAUGCCUGGGAAAAUGUUUGUUAAUUGUGCCUGCUAAUUAGUAGGGCGCACUAUAAUGAGCCGAUUAAGCGUCUCUUUCAACCCGAGCACAGAGAGAACGGCCCGACGCCGCCACCCUUUAGCGGGAAGAAAAUUCGGGUUUGCUUGCCCUCUUGAGGCUCUCUUUCUUCCCCGCUUCACGUUUUCCGACUGGUGAUCGGAAUAUACAUCGUAUGUUGGCAUGUUAGCUGAUUUUGAUGUGUUCCGGAUUAACAUAUGGAUAAAAUAUGUUGCAAUUCAGUUGUAUUUUUUGUCACUUGCAUGUCUAGAAAAAAGAGCAGCGGCAGUGGAAUAUGUCAUAUUUCACCGUUUCUUUUUCCAAGUGGCUCUGUUGGAGACUUGCGUUUCGCGGUGGCGUAGCCUAACAUUCCCAACAUAUUUUAGAAUAACUUUAUGAAUUCAUGCCUUCCAUAUGUAGGCAGGUAUUGCUUCCUCUCAUUACCGAAAUAUUUUUAAUAGACACAUUCCUAUUUUUAUGCUGUGCUGUAGCUUUCAUACAGCAUAAACCUCUGGGUCAUGGUGAAAAAGGUUUGGUUAUAUUGGUUAUAUUCAGUCUUAACAAUUCUUGAAAUCCCAUGUUAAUAUUCAAGUUAUUAAAUGACAUUAGAAUCUCUUUCUCUAUAUAUCUAUCUAUCUUAUAAAUAUCACGUGUCGAGUAUAUAUUUCUAAAAAUAAAGAUUAUUAAAUCA
Molecule: long non-coding RNA, 2589 nt
Organism: Penaeus chinensis
Lineage: Eukaryota; Metazoa; Arthropoda; Malacostraca; Decapoda; Penaeidae
Exons: 2
Source: RefSeq, a predicted model, not a curated record